Molecule: transfer RNA, 87 nt
Filed under: Candidatus Hydrogenedentota bacterium
Lineage: Bacteria; Pseudomonadati; Candidatus Hydrogenedentota
Also listed under: 1 other name
Description: tRNA-Leu
Rfam family: tRNA
About the family: Transfer RNA (tRNA) molecules are approximately 80 nucleotides in length. Their secondary structure includes four short double-helical elements and three loops (D, anti-codon, and T loops). Further hydrogen bonds mediate the characteristic L-shaped molecular structure. tRNAs have two regions of fundamental functional importance: the anti-codon, which is responsible for specific mRNA codon recognition, and the 3' end, to which the tRNAs corresponding amino acid is attached (by aminoacyl-tRNA synthetases). tRNAs cope with the degeneracy of the genetic code in two manners: having more than one tRNA (with a specific anti-codon) for a particular amino acid; and 'wobble' base-pairing, i.e. permitting non-standard base-pairing at the 3rd anti-codon position.
Source: RNAcentral
GGGCGAGUGGUGGAAUAGGCAUACACGACGGACUUAAAAUCCGUUCCCCGAAAGGGGGUGCGGGUUCGAUUCCCGCCUCGCCCACCA